AGUGAACGCUGGCGGUAGGCCUAACACAUGCAAGUCGAACGGCAGCACAGUAAGAGCUUGCUCUUACGGGUGGCGAGUGGCGGACGGGUGAGGAAUACAUCGGAAUCUACUUUUUCGUGGGGGAUAACGUAGGGAAACUUACGCUAAUACCGCAUACGACCUACGGGUGAAAGCAGGGGAUCUUCGGACCUUGCGCGAUUGAAUGAGCCGCUGUCGGAUUAGCUAGUUGGCGGGGUAAAGGCCCACCAAGGCGACGAUCCGUAGCUGGUCUGAGAGGAUGAUCAGCCACACUGGAACUGAGACACGGUCCAGACUCCUACGGGAGGCAGCAGUGGGGAAUAUUGGACAAUGGGCGCAAGCCUGAUCCAGCCAUACCGCGUGGGUGAAGGAGGCCUUCGGGUUGUAAAGCCCUUUUGUUGGGAAAGAAAAGCAGCAGGUUAAUACCCCGCUGUUCUGACGGUACCCAAAGAAUAAGCACCGGCUAACUUCGUG
RNAcentral lists this ribosomal RNA (492 nucleotides) under uncultured bacterium. Its description in RNAcentral is "partial 16S ribosomal RNA". It matches the Rfam family "Bacterial small subunit ribosomal RNA", at positions 29 to 507 of the family's 1533-position model. The record is from RNAcentral.